RNAcentral lists this long non-coding RNA (1541 nucleotides) under Gallus gallus (chicken). RNAcentral describes it as "lncRNA (ENSGALG00010005644.1)". The record is from RNAcentral. Lineage: Eukaryota; Metazoa; Chordata; Aves; Galliformes; Phasianidae.
UUACCAUUACCUGCUUCCUAUAUCUAUGCUUCUCACUACACUUUUCUAGCUUAAUACCUUUUAAAAAGCCUUAGAACACUAAUAAAAAAGCUUAAGGUCACCACUUUCACACCAGCAGAACCGAGUGUGCAAACCUGAAGAGAACGUAUCUGAGAAAAAAAGUAUUUCAAAUAAAGAUCUUUCAUUCUUUUCUUGUUGCUUUCCAAAGGAAUGUUAUUAGGAUAAACUGAGUAGUAAGGCAUGGCCUUGGGGAUGGAGCACUGAAGGUGCACUUCUCAACACCUUAGCAUCCUGAUUCCUCAAACUCUGUUCCAGCUGCCAUCUGCCCUACACUUACAGAUGUCCUUUCCUUAGAAAGGAGAAUAGGAUAUGCGAAGGACAGGGAAGAGUGCCUAUGAAAGUCCCACCCUGGCAGAAAAACUGGGCUCCAGUGGUUCUGAAGUUUUAUCCUGUUUAGAUGCAGCUAUUCUCAGAGGAUUGUGAUGAAGAGAAGGGAUUUGACGUCUGAGAAGGCUCAUCCAGAUAUUCAUGUGGAAACAUGCAGAGUGGGAGCAGCUCAACACACCACAUUAGAACCAAAGCCCUUCAGAAUUUCUACUGAUAGGAGAUAGCCAGCAGCUUCUAGAGGCACUGUUUGGUACUUAAAUGCAUGUCUAAAUGCAGAAACCUGACAUUAGCCACUGAAGAUAUUUAGAGAAACUUCCUUGCAAUAUCAUCAUACCUCAAUCAGGUCAAGGAGUAUGUAACUGCAAUUUCUUCUCUGCUCAGACAGCUUUAAAGGGCUUAGGUUAAUACAAACUACAGUGAUGAUUAUUCUGAAUUGAAGACUUGUCUCUAGGACCAAAAUACUUUCUUUUUAGGAACACUAAGGAGUCUGAUAUAUUGUACCUAAAUGCAUAUGCCAUCUGUCCUGGUCAUCAUAGUCAUAUGUUCCAUCAUUUAAUAUUGCCACAUUCCACAAGUUGCUUUACAAGUUAAAUUGAUUGGGAUGACCCAUAUAAGCUGUGAAAAUCUACAGGUCAGUGUGGAAGAAAGCAGCAAGGAGCAACAAGAAGCAUUCCUGCCCAAAGAAAACAUGCUCCCCACUACAGAUUUGGUAUGUAGGAAAUGAAGAACUGUACCUCCCUUUCCCCUCAGUACUCACAUUAAUUUUGAGAGGCAUAUCACAGCUCAGCAGCCACCACUGAAGAGAUGGAAAGAAAGCAAGUGGACAAGAGGCAAAGAGGCAUUUGCAGAUAGCAUGAAGCAGUGGAGGGCUGAAAGAGUUUGAAGACAAACUUCUUCAGAGGGAGUUCCCAUUGCCAAAUCAUCCAUGUUGAGACUGUGGGAGGGGUGAGAAGGUCAGUGCCACACAUGGCAAGAAGGCAACACUGUAGAAGGCAGUGUCCGAACAAACUGAGGGAAUGAGGGGAUGGCUGUGAUGUGGUGGCUGUACUUUGCAUAUUAGAGAAAGCAUUGAUGAGAAAAUACACUAUUUGGAGUGCUGGAAUUGAUGGCAGGAGAACAAAAACAAGUCAGAGUUGAAAGGAGACAAAGGGAUC